This is a non-coding RNA of Peromyscus maniculatus bairdii (prairie deer mouse), 617 nucleotides long. The record is from RefSeq and is a predicted model, not a curated record. NCBI's taxonomy places the organism in Eukaryota, Metazoa, Chordata, Mammalia, Rodentia, Cricetidae.
CCCUGAUACAAAAGCAAAGUCUAAGUGGUUCACGUCUGCAGAGACAAGGAGCAACAAGAGGCAUGGAGGACCCAAGCAUGCACAAGAAGACAGACCCAUGCCUUUGCCAGAUGAACAUGGACUCGGGCACAGAAUGAUAUGCACUGCUUUCAAACUUGGUCCAGAGAGAGUUCUUGAUGCAGCUGGCAGAGGUUAACAUGGAGACUCAUAACUAAGAAUAAGACACUGUGAAUAUUCAGCCCCAAAUGGGACAUCUGUGUCAACCCAGUCCUCAAGGCUCAGGGAACAUUGUGGGAGAAGCAGAAAGAAGGCAAGAAUCCGGCCAGUGACUCUGCUGCAGAAGACAAGAGCCCUUUCGACUGAGACCCCACCCCAAAGCCCCUGACUCCUUCCUUCCACAGGCCAUCAUCCAGCGCAUGCCCGUUACCUGCUGCGCUGACUACAAGGCCACUGGUCACUGCCACGUGUGCUGCACAUGUGCCACCACGCCCGUCCUGAUGAACAUCCUGAAGGAAGUCACCCAAUGUGUCCCAGUGCUAGGCUUGGUGGAUGGUUUUGGAUUUGUGUUGACUGUUCAUACUUAUUUACUAUAUAAAUAUAAUUUAUCAUUUGUAUCA